UUCUUAAUCACGAAGGAAGGUAAUAGUUAGAGGUUAAAAGGUGAAAGUCAAAUAAAGUUUAAAAAAAAAGUUUUUCUACAAGUUCUUGGAUUUCGGAUCGGUGGUAGUUGCGAAAAUUAAGUGGGACUUAAUCAGCACGACAGGACAAACCGAGUUAAAAACCUUGCGGGGGAGAAUUUGUAGGAUUGACGAGUAAAAGUAAGUCGAUAGCUAAAACGUUAACCUAAAGUAAAAUAAAACAUUGAAAUCUUAAAAUUUAAAAUAUAGAAAAUCUGGAGUUGAUUUGAGACAGAGAGUCGGCUAGGGAAAGAUAAGGCGAAGAAAUCCGCAGGAGGAAGGAAGAAACUAAAUCUUUGAUCUACUUAGAACUAAAAGUGGAUUCACGGCUGGUUUCUUGUCCCGAACAACGGUGGAUCGUGGAACAUUGGAGCCCCUGUAAGCUUCUCUAGUCGAAACACCACUUUUUAUUGCUUGAAGACACUCAGUAACAGCUGCUUCAGUAUAUUUUUUACCAAUU
This is a long non-coding RNA of Wyeomyia smithii (pitcher-plant mosquito), 517 nucleotides long. RefSeq lists it as uncharacterized. The record is from RefSeq and is a predicted model, not a curated record. NCBI's taxonomy places the organism in Eukaryota, Metazoa, Arthropoda, Insecta, Diptera, Culicidae. The transcript is spliced from 3 exons.